Phytophthora sojae is the source of this 72-nucleotide transfer RNA. It matches the Rfam family "tRNA". Rfam says of the family: Transfer RNA (tRNA) molecules are approximately 80 nucleotides in length. Lineage: Eukaryota; Oomycota; Peronosporomycetes; Peronosporales; Peronosporaceae. The record is from Rfam.
GGGCGCAUAGCGCAGUGGUAGCGCGUCCGCUUUGCAAGCGGAAGGCCCCGGGUUCAAUCCCCGGUGUGUCCA